RNAcentral lists this ribosomal RNA (253 nucleotides) under uncultured bacterium. Its description in RNAcentral is "partial 16S ribosomal RNA". It matches the Rfam family "Bacterial small subunit ribosomal RNA", at positions 524 to 776 of the family's 1533-position model. The record is from RNAcentral.
GACAGAGGGUGCAAACGUUGUUCGGAAUUACUGGGCGUAAAGCGCGUGUAGGCGGCCCUGCAAGUCGGAUGUGAAAUCCCACGGCUCAACCGUGGAAGUGCAUUCGAAACUGCAGGGCUAGAGUCCUGGAGAGGAAGGUGGAAUGCUUGGUGUAGAGGUGAAAUUCGUAGAUAUCAAGCGGAACACCGGUGGCGAAGGCGGCCUUCUGGACAGUGACCGACGCUGAGGCGCGAAAGCGUGGGGAGCAAACAGG